RNAcentral lists this long non-coding RNA (549 nucleotides) under Manihot esculenta (cassava). RNAcentral describes it as "long non-coding RNA (MESC_LNC011977)". Lineage: Eukaryota; Viridiplantae; Streptophyta; Magnoliopsida; Malpighiales; Euphorbiaceae. The record is from RNAcentral.
UCCCUUGUGUGGCCUACCACACCUUGCACAAACUGCAUUAUCCGCACCAGAGCUUGAGCCACUCCCAAACCCCAGACUCGACUUGACCUUGUUCCAGAACUUAUUCUUCUUACCCUUGGGUUUACCCCAUCUCUUACUGCCUGAAGCUGCUGCACUCAAGGUAGAGGGAUCUAACCUUCCCCCACCCGGAGUUUUAGAACCAGAAGCUUGUGCCACUGUCUGCUUAACUGUCCCCUGAAUGAUGGCACUAGCCUCCAUUCUCCUAGCCAUGUCUACUAUGGCAUGAAAACUCUCUCUAUCUGCUGACUAUAUCAAGGAGGAAUACCUGGAAUGGAGCUUCAUGAUAUACCUCCUCGACUUCUUCUGGUCUGUACUAAGGUCUUGCCCAGCAAAUGGCAGCAACUCCAUAAACCUGUCAGUAUAUUCGUCUACACUCAUGUCAUCAGUUUGCCUCAACUGCUCGAAUUCUAUCAUCUUCAAUUCCCUUGAACUAUCAGGGAAAGCCCAUCCUGCAAACUCGUUUGCAAACUCUUCCCAAGUCAUGCUGUC